CAUAAACUAAUAGUUUUUUUUUUUUUUUUUAACCAUUCAAUUUUUUCAGUUUAAUGUCCUUUCUCUCAUCAGUUCACUUGAGGAAUGUUUCCAAAAGGUGGCUGUUACAAAUAACUACAAAAAUAAGUCAACAAAACCACCUCCCCCCCUCAACAGUCCUGAAAAAAUGCAACAAAAACUAUUAGUUUAUGCGACUGUCCCAUUCAGAAACAAAUCACUCCCACGACAAGGAAAUCAGACACCAUCAACACUUGCUGCAACAGAGAUCAGAACUACUUUCUGCACCUUAA
This 290-nucleotide unclassified non-coding RNA is filed under the name Hevea brasiliensis (rubber tree). Lineage: Eukaryota; Viridiplantae; Streptophyta; Magnoliopsida; Malpighiales; Euphorbiaceae. The record is from RNAcentral.